GGUUAAGUUAAUAAGGGCGCACGGUGGAUGCCUUGGCACUAGGAGCCGAAGAAGGACGUGACAAACGACGAUAUGCCUUGGGUAGCUGUAAGUAAGCGAUGAUCCAGGGAUUUCCGAAUGGGGGAACCCAACAGGUACUACCUGUUACCCACAUCUGUUAAGGAUGUGAGGAGGAAGACGCAGUGAACUGAAACAUCUAAGUAGCUGCAGGAAGAGAAAGCAAAAGCGAUUGCCUUAGUAGCGGCGAGCGAAACGGCAGAAGGGCAAACCGAAGAGUUUACUCUUCGGGGUUGUAGGACUGCAAUGUGGACUCAAAGAUUAUAGAAGAAUGAUUUGGGAAGAUCAGCCAAAGAGAGUAAUAGCCUCGUAUUUAAAAUAGUCUUUGUACCUAGCAGUAUCCUGAGUACGGCGGGACACGUGAAAUCCCGUCGGAAUCUGGGAGGACCAUCUCCCAAC
Molecule: ribosomal RNA, 456 nt
Filed under: Listeria monocytogenes
Lineage: Bacteria; Bacillati; Bacillota; Bacilli; Caryophanales; Listeriaceae
Description: partial 23S ribosomal RNA
Rfam family: Bacterial large subunit ribosomal RNA
Source: RNAcentral